RNAcentral lists this ribosomal RNA (497 nucleotides) under uncultured bacterium. Its description in RNAcentral is "partial 16S ribosomal RNA". It matches the Rfam family "Bacterial small subunit ribosomal RNA", at positions 28 to 507 of the family's 1533-position model. The record is from RNAcentral.
GACGAACGCUGGCGGCGUGCCUAAUACAUGCAAGUAGAACGCUGAGGAGAGGAGCUUGCUCUUCUUGGGUGAGUUGCGAACGGGUGAGUAACGCGUAGGUAACCUGCCUUGUAGCGGGGGAUAACUAUUGGAAACGAUAGCUAAUACCGCAUAACAAUGGAUGACACAUGUCAUUUUUUUGAAAGGGGCAAUUGCUCUACUACAUGAUGGACCUGCGUUGUAUUAGCUAGUAGGUGAGGGAAUGGCUCACCUAGGCGACGAUACAUAGCCGACCUGAGAGGGUGGACGGCCAAACUGGGAAUGGGACACGGGCCAGGACCCUACGGGAGGGAGCAGGAAGGAAACUUCGGCAAUGGGGGCAAACCUGAACGGGCAAAGGCGCGUGAGUGAAGAAGGGUUUCGGAUCGUAAAGCUCUUGUGUAAGGGAAGAAAGAGUGGGGGAGUGGAAAGUGCACACUGUGACGGUAGCUUACCAGAAAGGGACGGCUAACUACGUG